UUCAGCUGCAAGUAAUAGAAUUCUCAACUCAUAUUGAGUUGGGCUCCUCAAAAGCAGACCCUGAGACAAGGUUGUCUGCAGCCCUUCCAAACAUUACAAGAUCUCACGUUGUCACCCAGACCGGAGUGCAAUGGUGUCAUCAUAGCUCACUGCAGCCUCAAACUCUACGCUCAAGUGAUCUUCCCACCUUAGCCUCCUGAGUGGCUGGGACUACAGGGUGGAUGUUGGUGUCUUCUAUACAGCCUGCACUCAGUGAAAUUCUCUUCAAAUAAAUUAGGAGAUUCUAUUUUUGGAUAUGAAAUAUCUUUAUCCAGUUCUGGAUGCUGCUUUAUGGCUCGAGUUUUUUUUAGAUUAGUGCAACCAUAUUGUUUCUCUAGUUUUUGAGAUGGAAUUUUUAAUAUCCACCAGAGCUUCAGGCUUUACAUGAUUCGAAGCAGCUCAUUAUAUU
This 448-nucleotide long non-coding RNA is filed under the name Homo sapiens (human). RNAcentral describes it as "HSALNT0358079". The record is from RNAcentral. Lineage: Eukaryota; Metazoa; Chordata; Mammalia; Primates; Hominidae.